GAACAUCAGCCAGUUAGUGCAUGCCUACAACUGCACUCAAAAUGAGGCCACGGGUUACUCUCCCUACCUCUUGAUGUUUGGGAGGGAAGCUCAUCUGCCUGUAGAUGUUUGUUUUGGAGUGACUGAGGACUGUGCUCAGGAUUCGACAUACCACCAGUAUGUGGGCAAACUUAGAGGCGACCUAAAACGGGACUACCAGUUAGCUACAGAAGCAGCAGGGGAAAAUCAUCAAAGGAACAAAAAAAGCACAUGACAAGAAUGUCAGAGAACAUGUUCUGGAGAAAGGAGAUCGGGUCCUACUAAGAAAUUUUGGCAUGACUGGUAGACACAAGCUAAAAGAGAAAUGGAGGACAGUUCCAUAUGUUGUUACAAAAAAGUUGCCACACAUACCUAUUUUUAAGGUGAAACCUGAAAGUGAAAGGGGGGUGGAGAAAACUGUGCAACGUAAUCACUUACUACCUGUAGGAGGUCUAGUGAGGUUGCCAGUAGAUGGAGAAACUGAUUCUGAGCAAGACUUGUCAAAAG
Long non-coding RNA from Melanotaenia boesemani (Boeseman's rainbowfish), 525 nucleotides. RefSeq lists it as uncharacterized. The record is from RefSeq and is a predicted model, not a curated record. The transcript is spliced from 3 exons. NCBI's taxonomy places the organism in Eukaryota, Metazoa, Chordata, Actinopteri, Atheriniformes, Melanotaeniidae.